UUAAAAUCAAUUCCAGAGUUAUCAACAUGAAGAAUCAUGAUGGGUCGUUUCAAUAACAUGAUGCUGUUCUCUCCUCACCUUAGAAUCCUCAAGAUAACUCUGGUAAAUAUAGCAACCAAAACCCCAGAAAGCCAUAAGCAAAGAGAUUACCUUCACACCAUUCAUCUUGUCAUGGAAAACCACAACAGCAGCAAUAGGAGAUACAGCCAAGGCGACAGUACUUAUUACAUUGGAAAAAAGAGAAGAUACCAAGAAAAUCAGGCCUACAACACCAACGGAACAAACCUGCCAACAUACUGCUGUCCAAACCAGUGUCAUAAUGUAAGACACCCUCCCACUAACAAAACUCGAUAUUUCUCCAUGCAAAGUCUUCCAUUCCCCACUAGCAAAAAGACCGAUGAUAGAAACACAGGUGGCAACAAGUGAUGUGAAGAUCUGCAUUUCCAACACGACAUUAAAAGUUUCCUUUUUUAUGAAUUUUUGAAAGGACAGCUGCAUGAGAGAAAGNGAAGAGAGUAUAUUGCCGAAGCACCAAGGGUACAAACGAAGCCAAUGAUAUACUUCCACUCAGAGACUCCUGAUGGACUGUCUGAAUCAUCAUUGACGGCAAUGAGAGCCGCAGAAAAUGAAAGCACAACCACAGAGUUGAGAAUUAAGGAAGUGAACUUCUGAGAAUUUAUGAAGUAUGAGAAAAUAGCAUUGAAAGCU
Molecule: unclassified non-coding RNA, 708 nt
Filed under: Hevea brasiliensis (rubber tree)
Lineage: Eukaryota; Viridiplantae; Streptophyta; Magnoliopsida; Malpighiales; Euphorbiaceae
Source: RNAcentral